RNAcentral lists this transfer RNA (73 nucleotides) under Aliivibrio wodanis. RNAcentral's name for it is "transfer RNA-Gly". It matches the Rfam family "tRNA". From Rfam's summary of the family: Transfer RNA (tRNA) molecules are approximately 80 nucleotides in length. Their secondary structure includes four short double-helical elements and three loops (D, anti-codon, and T loops). The record is from RNAcentral. Lineage: Bacteria; Pseudomonadati; Pseudomonadota; Gammaproteobacteria; Vibrionales; Vibrionaceae.
GCGACACUAGCUCAGCUGGUAGAGCGCAACCUUGCCAAGGUUGAGGUCACGAGUUCGAGCCUUGUGUGUCGCU